This 1498-nucleotide ribosomal RNA is filed under the name metagenome. Its description in RNAcentral is "bacterial SSU rRNA". It matches the Rfam family "Bacterial small subunit ribosomal RNA". The record is from RNAcentral.
AGAGUUUGAUCCUGGCUCAGGAUGAACGCUAGCGGCAGGCCUAACACAUGCAAGUCGAGGGGUAACAUAGUAGCUUGCUACUGAUGACGACCGGCGCACGGGUGCGCACCGCGUAUGGAACCUACCUUUUACAGGGGAAUAGCCUUUGGAAACGAAGAUUAAUGCCCCAUAGUAUCAUUAUACAGCAUUGUAUUUUGAUUAAAGGCUUCGGCCGGUGAAAGAUGGCCAUGCGUCCCAUUAGUUUGUUGGUAAGGUAACGGCUUACCAAGACUACGAUGGGUAGGGGCCCUGAGAGGGGGAUCCCCCACACUGGUACUGAGACACGGACCAGACUCCUACGGGAGGCAGCAGUGAGGAAUAUUGGACAAUGGAGGAGACUCUGAUCCAGCCAUGCCGCGUGCAGGAAGAAUGCCCUAUGGGUAGUAAACUGCUUUUAUACGGGAAGAAAAAGAGCUACGUGUAGCUUACUGACGGUACCGUAAGAAUAAGGACCGGCUAACUCCGUGCCAGCAGCCGCGGUAAUACGGAGGGUCCGAGCGUUAUCCGGAAUUAUUGGGUUUAAAGGGUCCGUAGGCGGGCGAUUAAGUCAGUGGUGAAAGUCUGCAGCUCAACUGUAGAAUUGCCUUUGAUACUGGUCGUCUUGAGUUAUAGUGAAGUUGCCGGAAUAUGUAGUGUAGCGGUGAAAUGCAUAGAUAUUACAUAGAACACCGAUUGCGAAGGCAGGUGACUAACUAUAUACUGACGCUGAUGGACGAAAGCGUAGGGAGCAAACAGGAUUAGAUACCCUGGUAGUCCACGCUGUAAACGAUGAGAACUAGAUGUUGGCCGGUUAUUUACUGGGCAGUAUCGCAGUUAACGCAUUAAGUUCUCCGCCUGGGGAGUACGGUCGCAAGAUUAAAACUCAAAGGAAUUGACGGGGGCCCGCACAAGCGGUGGAGCAUGUGGUUUAAUUCGAUGCUACGCGAAGAACCUUACCUACCCUUGAAAUCCCAGGAAUUUUCUAGAGAUAGAAAAGUGCCUUCGGGAACCUGGAGACAGGUGCUGCAUGGCUGUCGUCAGCUCGUGUCGUGAGAUGUUGGGUUAAGUCCCGUAACGAGCGCAACCCUUAUCUUUAGUUGCCAUCAGUUCGGCUGGGAACUCUAAAGAAACUGCCGGCGCUAAGCCGGAGGAAGGAGAGGACGACGUCAAGUCAUCAUGGCCCUUAUGGGUAGGGCAACACACGUGCUACAAUGGGGAGUACAGAGGGCUGCCAAGUCGCAAGACGGAGCCAAUCUCAAAAAGCUUCUCGUAGUCCAGAUUGAAGUCUGCAACUCGACUUCAUGAAGUUGGAAUCGCUAGUAAUCGCGAAUCAGAAUGUCGCGGUGAAUACGUUCUCGGGCCUUGUACACACCGCCCGUCAAACCAUGGGAGUGGAUUGUACCAGAAGCGGGUAGCCUAACCGUAAGGGGGGCGCCCACCACGGUAUGCUUCAUGACUGGGGUUAAGUCGUAACAAGGUA